UCAAUCCUUACAAUCCAAAUCUAAUGCGAAUAAAACCACGUGAAUGUCGAUUAAAUGACGAUGACAUUCCCGAUUCAAUAAAGAAUUACAAGCCAAAAAGGAAAAUCCGCGUGUCAUCUUUACAGCAUUCAAAAAGCUGUGAACAGACUAAAAUCAAUGAUGCAAAAGUAGAGAACUCAAAAGACAAACCUAAAAGCGAAUUGCCAACCGACGAUUGCACAUCCUCCCGCAAAU
Molecule: long non-coding RNA, 234 nt
Organism: Magallana angulata
Lineage: Eukaryota; Metazoa; Mollusca; Bivalvia; Ostreida; Ostreidae
Exons: 3
Source: RefSeq, a predicted model, not a curated record